UACGUAGGGUGCAAGCGUUGUCCGGAAUUAUUGGGCGUAAAGCGCGUGUAGGCGGCUUGGCAAGUCGGGUGUGAAAUCCCUCAGCUCAACUGAGGAAGUGCGCCCGAAACUGCUUUGCUUGAGUGCCGGAGAGGGUGGCGGAAUUCCCCAAGUAGAGGUGAAAUUCGUAGAUAUGGGGAGGAACACCGGUGGCGAAGGCGGCCACCUGGACGGUAACUGACGCUGAGACGCGAAAGCGUGGGGAGCAAACAGG
This 253-nucleotide ribosomal RNA is filed under the name uncultured bacterium. RNAcentral describes it as "partial 16S ribosomal RNA". It matches the Rfam family "Bacterial small subunit ribosomal RNA", at positions 524 to 776 of the family's 1533-position model. The record is from RNAcentral.